GACGAACGCUGGCGGCGUGCUUAACACAUGCAAGUCGAACGGAAAGGCCCUGCUUUUGUGGGGUGCUCGAGUGGCGAACGGGUGAGUAACACGUGAGUAACCUGCCCUUGACUUUGGGAUAACUUCAGGAAACUGGGGCUAAUACCGGAUAGGAGCUCCUGCUGCAUGGUGGGGGUUGGAAAGUUUCGGCGGUUGGGGAUGGACUCGCGGCUUAUCAGCUUGUUGGUGGGGUAGUGGCUUACCAAGGCUUUGACGGGUAGCCGGCCUGGGAGGGUGACCGGCGACAUUGGGACUGAGAUACGGACCAGACGGCAACGGGAGGCAGCAGUGGGGAAUAUUGCACAAUGGGCGGAAGCCGGAGGCAGAAACGCCGGGUGCGGGAUGACGGCCUGCGGGUUGUAAAACGCUUUCGCCUGUGACGAAGCGUGAGUGACGGUAAUGGGUAAAGAAGCACCGGCUAACUACGUG
Molecule: ribosomal RNA, 468 nt
Filed under: uncultured bacterium
Lineage: Bacteria
Description: partial 16S ribosomal RNA
Rfam family: Bacterial small subunit ribosomal RNA
Source: RNAcentral